GAUGAACGCUGGCGGCGUGCCUAAUACAUGCAAGUCGAGCGAACGGACGAGAAGCUUGCUUCUCUGAUGUUAGCGGCGGACGGGUGAGUAACACGUGGAUAACCUACCUAUAAGACUGGGAUAACUUCGGGAAACCGGAGCUAAUACCGGAUGAUAUUUUGAACCGCAUGGUUCAAAAGUGAAAGACGGUCUUGCUGUCACUUAUAGAUGGAUCCGCGCUGCAUUAGCUAGUUGGUAAGGUAACGGCUUACCAAGGCAACGAUGCAUAGCCGACCUGAGAGGGUGAUCGGCCACACUGGAACUGAGACACGGUCCAGACUCCUACGGGAGGCAGCAGUAGGGAAUCUUCCGCAAUGGGCGAAAGCCUGACGGAGCGACGCCGCGUGAGUGAUGAAGGUCUUCGGAUCGUAAAACUCUGUUAUUAGGGAAGAACAUAUGUGUAAGUAACUGUGCACAUCUUGACGGUACCUAAUCAGAAAGCCACGGCUAACUACGUGCCAGCAGCCGCGGUAAUACGUAGGUGGCAAGCGUUAUCCGGAAUUAUUGGGCGUAAAGCGCGCGUAGGCGGUUUUUUAAGUCUGAUGUGAAAGCCCACGGCUCAACCGUGGAGGGUCAUUGGAAACUGGAAAACUUGAGUGCAGAAGAGGAAAGUGGAAUUCCAUGUGUAGCGGUGAAAUGCGCAGAGAUAUGGAGGAACACCAGUGGCGAAGGCGACUUUCUGGUCUGUAACUGACGCUGAUGUGCGAAAGCGUGGGGAUCAAACAGGAUUAGAUACCCUGGUAGUCCACGCCGUAAACGAUGAGUGCUAAGUGUUAGGGGGUUUCCGCCCCUUAGUGCUGCAGCUAACGCAUUAAGCACUCCGCCUGGGGAGUACGACCGCAAGGUUGAAACUCAAAGGAAUUGACGGGGACCCGCACAAGCGGUGGAGCAUGUGGUUUAAUUCGAAGCAACGCGAAGAACCUUACCAAAUCUUGACAUCCUUUGACAACUCUAGAGAUAGAGCCUUCCCCUUCGGGGGGGACAAAGUGACAGGUGGUGCAUGGUUGUCGUCAGCUCGUGUCGUGAGAUGUUGGGUUAAGUCCCGCAACGAGCGCAACCCUUAAGCUUAGUUGCCAUCAUUAAGUUGGGCACUCUAAGUUGACUGCCGGUGACAAACCGGAGGAAGGUGGGGAUGACGUCAAAUCAUCAUGCCCCUUAUGAUUUGGGCUACACACGUGCUACAAUGGACAAUACAAAGGGCAGCGAAACCGCGAGGUCAAGCAAAUCCCAUAAAGUUGUUCUCAGUUCGGAUUGUAGUCUGCAACUCGACUACAUGAAGCUGGAAUCGCUAGUAAUCGUAGAUCAGCAUGCUACGGUGAAUACGUUCCCGGGUCU
This 1374-nucleotide ribosomal RNA is filed under the name uncultured bacterium. Its description in RNAcentral is "bacterial SSU rRNA". It matches the Rfam family "Bacterial small subunit ribosomal RNA", at positions 28 to 1381 of the family's 1533-position model. The record is from RNAcentral.